ACUUUCCUCGUCAUGAGGUUGAGGACUGUUCAAUGAGUGUAUGGUGAGAGCAGGCCUGCUAACACCAGAUCAACACAUUCGCACCUGACUUCUAGAACACAGAUAAUGAUGCAAUUUUUGUAAAU
Molecule: small nuclear RNA, 125 nt
Organism: Carassius auratus (goldfish)
Lineage: Eukaryota; Metazoa; Chordata; Actinopteri; Cypriniformes; Cyprinidae
Product: U4atac minor spliceosomal RNA
Source: Ensembl